CACGCCCGUCACACCAUGGAAGCCAGCUGUACCGGAAGUCGGUGCACCAACCGCAAGGGAGGUAGCCGCCUAUGGUAUGACUGGUGACUGGGUG
This 94-nucleotide ribosomal RNA is filed under the name uncultured bacterium. Its description in RNAcentral is "partial 16S ribosomal RNA". The record is from RNAcentral.